RNAcentral lists this ribosomal RNA (830 nucleotides) under uncultured bacterium. RNAcentral's name for it is "bacterial SSU rRNA". It matches the Rfam family "Bacterial small subunit ribosomal RNA", at positions 550 to 1381 of the family's 1533-position model. The record is from RNAcentral.
UUUAUUGGGCGUAAAGCGAGCGCAGGCGGUUAGAUAGNUCUGAAGUUAAAGGCAGUGGCUCAACCAUUGUAGGCUUUGGAAACUGUUUAACUUGAGUGCAGAAGGGGAGAGUGGAAUUCCAUGUGUAGCGGUGAAAUGCGUAGAUAUAUGGAGGAACACCGGUGGCGAAAGCGGCUCUCUGGUCUGUAACUGACGCUGAGGCUCGAAAGCGUGGNGAGCGAACAGGAUUAGAUACCCUGGUAGUCCACGCCGUAAACGAUGAGUGCUAGGUGUUAGGUCCUUUCCGGGACUUAGUGCCGCAGCUAACGCAUUAAGCACUCCGCCUGGGGAGUACGACCGCAAGGUUGAAACUCAAAGGAAUUGACGGGGGCCCGCACAAGCGGUGGAGCAUGUGGUUUAAUUCGAAGCAACGCGAAGAACCUUACCAGGUCUUGACAUCCCGAUGCCCGCUCUAGAGAUAGAGCUUUACUUCGGUACAUCGGUGACAGGUGGUGCAUGGUUGUCGUCAGCUCGUGUCGUGAGAUGUUGGGUUAANNCCCGCAACGAGCGCAACCCUUAUUGUUAGUUGCCAUCAUUCAGUUGGGCACUCUAGCGAGACUGCCGGUAAUAAACCGGAGGAAGGUGGGGAUGACGUCAAAUCAUCAUGCCCCUUAUGACCUGGGCUACACACGUGCUACAAUGGCUGGUACAACGAGUCGCAAGCCGGUGACGGCAAGCUAAUCUCUGAAAGCCAGUCUCAGUUCGGAUUGUAGGCUGCAACUCGCCUACAUGAAGUCGGAAUCGCUAGUAAUCGCGGAUCAGCACGCCGCGGUGAAUACGUUCCCGGGCCU